This 503-nucleotide ribosomal RNA is filed under the name uncultured bacterium. RNAcentral describes it as "bacterial SSU rRNA". It matches the Rfam family "Bacterial small subunit ribosomal RNA", at positions 903 to 1397 of the family's 1533-position model. The record is from RNAcentral.
AAAUGAAUAGACGGGGACUCACACAAGCGGUGGAGCAUGUGGCUCAAUUCGAAGCAACGCGAAGAACCUUAUCCUGGGCUUGACAUGCACGGAUGAAACCGGUGAAAGUCGGGGACUGCCCUUACGGGUGAAACGUGCACAGGUGCUGCAUGGCUGUCGUCAGCUCGUGCUGUGAAGUGUCGGGUUAAGUCCCUUAACGAGCGAAACCCUUGUCGCUAGUUGCCAGCGGGUCAUGCCGGGGACUCUAGCGAGACUGCCGGUGUUAAACCGGAGGAAGGUGGGGAUGACGUCAAGUCCUCAUGGCCUUUAUGCCCAGGGCUGCACACGUGCUACAAUGGGGCGGACAAAGGGUUGCCAACCCGCGAGGGGGAGCUAAUCCCAAAAACCGCCUCCCAGUCCGGAUUGCAGGCUGCAACUCGCCUGCAUGAAGUUGGAAUCGCUAGUAAUCGCGGAUCAGCUACGCCGCGGUGAAUGUGUUCCUGAGUCUUGUACACACCGCCCGU